This 264-nucleotide ribosomal RNA is filed under the name uncultured bacterium. Its description in RNAcentral is "partial 16S ribosomal RNA". It matches the Rfam family "Bacterial small subunit ribosomal RNA", at positions 1237 to 1500 of the family's 1533-position model. The record is from RNAcentral.
CCACAGAGAGAAGCGAAUUCGCAAGGAAGAGCGGAUCUCAAAAAAGUGGUCCCAGUUCGGAUUGUGGGCUGNAACCCGCCCACAUGAAGUCGGAGUUGCUAGUAAUCGCGGGUCAGCAUGCCGCGGUGAAUACGUUCCCGGGCCUUGUACACACCGCCCGUCACACCAUGGGAGUUGGGAGUGCCCAAAGCCGGUGAGGCAACCGAAAGGAGCCAGCCGUCUAAGGCAAGACCAAUGACUGGGGUGAAGUCGUAACAAGGUACC